RNAcentral lists this non-coding RNA (30 nucleotides) under Rattus norvegicus (Norway rat). The record is from RNAcentral. Lineage: Eukaryota; Metazoa; Chordata; Mammalia; Rodentia; Muridae.
UCCAUCAAGCAAUGGAGUCCUUGGCCACCC